Molecule: ribosomal RNA, 263 nt
Filed under: uncultured bacterium
Lineage: Bacteria
Description: partial 16S ribosomal RNA
Source: RNAcentral
CUGCUGCCUUCCGUAGGAGUUUGGGCCGUGUCUCAGUCCCAAUGUGGCCGUUCACCCUCUCAGGCCGGCUACUGAUCGUCGCUUUGGUGGGCCGUUACCCCGCCAACUGGCUAAUCAGACGCGGGUCCAUCUUACACCACCGGAGUUUUCAGACAGAAGACAUGCGUCUCCUCUCAUUAUGCGGUAUUAGCACCUAUUUCUAAGUGUUAUCCCCCAGUGUAAGGCAGGUUACCCACGCGUUACUCACCCGUCCGCCACUAAGA